Long non-coding RNA from Papaver somniferum (opium poppy), 714 nucleotides. RefSeq lists it as uncharacterized. The transcript is spliced from 3 exons. Lineage: Eukaryota; Viridiplantae; Streptophyta; Magnoliopsida; Ranunculales; Papaveraceae. The record is from RefSeq and is a predicted model, not a curated record.
UUGUUUCAAAAAAAUGAAAAUAUUAUGGAAAAACUGAUGAUUGUUUUUCAAGAUACACAAAGAUAUGUGGAUAACUUAAAAGUUUUACCUUGAAGGGGACGCCUGACGCUCUUUCGUGGAAGGCCUCUCUACAAACACAAGAAGUAGAAGCCCACAUUAGAUGUUCAUGUUAUUUCAUGAAGACCACCACAGAUUAACAGGAAAAAGUAAAUGAUUUUUAGAUUUAACUAAGGUGAUAUGACGUUACCUUUAUGUGAUUCUUUUUUUCUGGGGAUAUCUCCAAGGUCCUUCCGCUUUUGAAGAAUUUGUUUACGCAUACGUGCAUCAAAUUUGGACUCAUCGUCAUCAUCGUGGAAACAGAUAUUUCAAAUCUCUUUAAAGGAUGCAAAACAAAAAAACAGCAGUGGAAGAUACAGAUACGAAUACAAAUAUCUCAUAAUUACCUCUUCCUUGUUUGGGGCUUCCUUGAGGAGACGAGGAUCAUCCAAAACAUCAUGGCUACUCCGAAUGACGACUUUCACAGCUGCCAGCUCCUUCUCUUCCUGCUCUGCUUCUUCUCCAAAUGAAAGCAGGUUCAUCCUUCGGACGAGUAGAAGGCUUUACAGUUUGUCUUGGAAUAAUAUCAUCAAAAGGGUUCCAUAACACCUGCAACAAACGACAGUUUAAAAUUGAAUGAUACAAGAAGGUUGACAUAUGACAUGACUGAAAACCUCA